AGCGAACGCUGGCGGCAGGCUUAACACAUGCAAGUCGAGCGGGCACUUCGGUGUCAGCGGCAGACGGGUGAGUAACCCGUGGGAACGUACCCUUUGGUUCGGAAUAACGCUGGGAAACUAGCGCUAAUACCGGAUACGCCCUUUUGGGGAAAGGCUUGCUGCCGAAGGAUCGGCCCGCGUCUGAUUAGCUCGUUGGUGGGGUAAUGGCCUACCAAGGCGACGAUCAGUAGCUGGUCUGAGAGGAUGAUCAGCCACACUGGGACUGAGACACGGCCCAGACUCCUACGGGAGGCAGCAGUGGGGAAUAUUGGACAAUGGGCGCAAGCCUGAUCCAGCCAUGCCGCGUGAGUGAUGAAGGCCUUAGGGUUGUAAAGCUCUUUUGUCCGGGACGAUAAUGACGGUACCGGAAGAAUAAGCCCCGGCUAACUUCGUG
RNAcentral lists this ribosomal RNA (433 nucleotides) under uncultured bacterium. RNAcentral's name for it is "partial 16S ribosomal RNA". It matches the Rfam family "Bacterial small subunit ribosomal RNA", at positions 29 to 507 of the family's 1533-position model. The record is from RNAcentral.